UAGGGAAUCUUCGGCAAUGGACGAAAGUCUGACCGAGCAACGCCGCGUGAGUGAAGAAGGUUUUCGGAUCGUAAAACUCUGUUGUUAGAGAAGAACAAGGACGUUAGUAACUGAACGUCCCCUGACGGUAUCUAACCAGAAAGCCACGGCUAACUACGUGCCAGCAGCCGCGGUAAUACGUAGGUGGCAAGCGUUGUCCGGAUUUAUUGGGCGUAAAGCGAGCGCAGGCGGUUUCUUAAGUCUGAUGUGAAAGCCCCCGGCUCAACCGGGGAGGGUCAUUGGAAACUGGGGGACUGGAGUGCAGAAGAGGAGGGUGGAAUUCCAUGGUUGGCGGUGAAAUGCGUGGAUAUAUGGAGGAACACCAGUGGCGAAGGCGGCUCUCUGGUCGGUAACUGACGCUGAGGCUCGAAAGCGUGGGAGCAAACAGG
Molecule: ribosomal RNA, 428 nt
Filed under: Gemmatimonadota bacterium
Lineage: Bacteria; Pseudomonadati; Gemmatimonadota
Description: Gemmatimonadetes bacterium partial 16S ribosomal RNA
Rfam family: Bacterial small subunit ribosomal RNA
Source: RNAcentral